This 495-nucleotide ribosomal RNA is filed under the name uncultured bacterium. Its description in RNAcentral is "partial 16S ribosomal RNA". It matches the Rfam family "Bacterial small subunit ribosomal RNA", at positions 30 to 507 of the family's 1533-position model. The record is from RNAcentral.
UGAACGCUGGCGGCGUGCCUAAUACAUGCAAGUCGAGCGAACAGACGAGGAGCUUGCUCCUCUGACGUUAGCGGCGGACGGGUGAGUAACACGUGGAUAACCUACCUAUAAGACUGGGAUAACUUCGGGAAACCGGAGCUAAUACCGGAUAAUAUAUUGAACCGCAUGGUUCAAUAGUGAAAGACGGUUUUGCUGUCACUUAUAGAUGGAUCCGCGCCGCAUUAGCUAGUUGGUAAGGUAACGGCUUACCAAGGCGACGAUGCGUAGCCGACCUGAGAGGGUGAUCGGCCACACUGGAACUGAGACACGGUCCAGACUCCUACGGGAGGCAGCAGAAGGGAAUCUUCCGCAAUGGGCGAAAGCCUGACGGAGCAACGCCGCGUGAGUGAUGAAGGUCUUCGGAUCGUAAAACUCUGUUAUUAGGGAAGAACAAAUGUGUAAGUAACUAUGCACGUCUUGACGGUACCUAAUCAGAAAGCCACGGCUAACUACGUG